Molecule: long non-coding RNA, 7962 nt
Organism: Brassica rapa (field mustard)
Lineage: Eukaryota; Viridiplantae; Streptophyta; Magnoliopsida; Brassicales; Brassicaceae
Source: RefSeq, a predicted model, not a curated record
CAAACAGAUUAUAUUAUAGAAAAAGACAGUUCUAUUGGAGAUGGAUUUCACCCAUUCCAAAUCCGGUUAAAGGAUCCAGUCUAAUAGCUCAAAGGUACACUAAGAAGACAAGAAAGCAAGUAAGAGUUAAGGCUCGUCCGAAAUCGGAUGAGAGUCAUUACCGACUUGACCUAGUCAACACAAAAUGUAAAGAAGAUUAGAGCAUUAAAGGAGGGUAUUAUAUAUGCUCGGCGUUACGAUUCUCACCCAGUCAAGCCAUAAGAAAGGACACAAACGAAGGAAAAGGGUGGAGGACCCAAGCUUCAGACAUCAAAAAUAUACCCAUUUUAAACCCAAAUCCAUUUGUACUCAAAAACUCUCUCUUUAUCAUUGAUGUAUCAAGAAUCAUUAUCAAUAAGAAAUACUAUUAUACCUUGAAAUCAUUCACAAAUAGUUAAUUUACUCAUUACACUCUAUAUUUAGAUUAAACCCUCAUCCUAAUUUAUUAGAGGAUCUUGUGAUCCUUUAUUUAGCACUAGAAGGAGGAUAAAUUAACACAAAAUAAUUAAACUUUUGAAGAUCUUACGUGAAACGAACAUCACAGUGAUUGGAGUAGAUGCAUUUGGUUUGGCCGGAGAAGGAAACCUCUCUGGUUCCAUCCCGCAUAAUGCAGUGCAGCAGCUCAACGCAUAAGGAAAAUCCAUCACCACGCGGCUCCGGCAGCACCAACCAACCUGCUGAUUUACGAAAUGUGUUCUCUAUUUUGAUUCAAUGUGCAGGUUAGGUGGAUGUAAUGCUACAUCAAGCUCUAUAAUGCUUGGAGCAGCACUAUAAAGUUGAAUCCCUUAAUUUACUUCAAUCAAAAUCCCUCAAUCAAAUCCGAUAAUAAAUAUGUUAAAACCGGAAUCUCGAACUGGGCAUCGGAAUAAACAGACCAAAGGUCUCAAACACCAAUUCAAAUCGGAUUCAAUACCCAACUCGCCUGACAACCUGAUACACAUCGGACUCCAGGGGGAGCUAUUGUUGGAGCCGGGUUUCAUCCCUCUCCAAACCCGGACCGAGAUCUCAACCCGAAUGCAUCAAAGCCCAAAAUCGAGCCCCAUCAACGUCCAAGGAGGAAAAAUAGGCUCACAAAGGUCAAGGCCCACCCCGGGCUUGAAGAGCCAAACAUACCAAGCUCGGCAAGUCAACGCAAAACAUAAAGGAAUCAAAUGCAUUAAAAACCAUCACAAAAUCACCUUAUCCACGCUAGAGAUCACUCUAAAGAUCACAACAUUGUUAUGAUCCGCCGGGAAGACCUAUAAAAGAAGAAGGAGGAUCCAAAUUCUUCCAUAGCUAAACUAUCUAUCUAUAUUAUUAAAACUAAAGUACAAAUUAGGUUUAUUUGGAAACAUGGAUGACAAUGUUAUAUGAGAACUGUUUGGAAACUUGGAUAGCAGUAUAUGUAUUUUCUUUUAUUUACACAUUUAGUCAUUGCAUUUAUAAUAAAUUACGUAUUUCUUUUUGUAUUUCUUUUUAUUUACAGAUUCUACCACUACAUUUAAAAUCAAUUUAAAUUAAUUAAUUACAAUUCUAAAACUUAUCUAAACAAAUCAAUAUUCAUAUAUUGAUCAUUAUUAAUAUCGUACAAAUAUUACUAAAUAAAAAAAUUUCUAUUUCAUUUAAUUUAGCCAAACACAUUAAAAUAAUUUUUUUAUUUGUUUACGGAAUCAGUUAGGAAUAGACAUUCGGGUGUACCCAUUUAAGUACGGGUUGUUUCUUUCGGGUAAAGAUUUUUUGGGGUUUGAAAUAUCUUUUUAGGUACUUCCUUUUUGUAUUUCUUUUUAUUUAUGGAUUCUACCACUGCAUUUAAAUUUAAUUUAAAUUAACUAAUUACAAUUCCAAAACUUAUCUAAACAAAUCGAUAUUCAUAUAUUGUUUAUUAUUAUUAAUAUUGUAAAAAUAUUACUAAAUAAAUUUUUUUCUAUUUCACUUAAUUUAGCCAAACACAUAAAUAUAUAUAUCUAUACAUAUAUUUAUUUGUUUAUGGAAUCUGUUAGGCAUAGACAUUCGGGUACCCAUUUAGGUACGGAUCAUUUUUUAGGGUAUAGAUUUUUUGGGUUUUGAAAUUAGACCAUGUUUGGAUAUAAAUUUAUGUGUGAGUUUCAAGUUGGAUCUCCCGGGUCUGUAUGAAUUUGGUUAUGAUGCACAGAAAAGUAAAAAUAUUCAAAUAACGAAUGUAUUUGAAAAUGAUUUGGAUAUUUGAACCAAAAAUAAUCAUAUUAUCCGAUUCGAUCUGGAUCUUUUGAAUACAAUUAGUUAUAUGGAGACAUAUCUAAAAUAUAUUGCACUAAUCAUGAAAAACAAAUAUUAAUGUAUAAAUACGUAAAAACUAAUACCUGCGCGGGUGCGCGGGUCAAGCUCUAGUGCUAUCUUUAUACCCACACUCCAUUGUUGUCAAGCAUCAGCUGUAAUCCUUGUUAAAUCAUCAAUAAAACAUUCAUCUUCCAAAAUUGAUCAUGGCCUAAUAUUUAUUUUUAUAGCUAACUUAUUCACAAAGUUUCCAUAAUCUUAAAUCUAUCUAUGUGCACAUUUUAGGAUUCAUAAGCACACUUGUAAUAUAAAAAAAGAAAAUUAAUGGGAUGUUGUUUUAAUAAAAAAAAUGUUCUUUUUUACAUCGAACGACUAUUCUAUUACUCAAACUUGAGGUGGUUUGGAUAACCAAACCGGAAUCAAACAAUCAAAGUAACAAAGUUCUCUAUAGAAAGAUCUCAUAGUCCUAGAUAAGAAACCAAAAUUUCAUUUUGCGUUUUUGGAAUGUGAGUGAUCUUGAAAUCUAAAAAGCAUAUUUGAAGGGUUUUUAUCACCUCCAAUUCCGUUGCAAAACUUGGCCAUUCAUGAGACUCUUUUAACUUUGCAAUCAGAUGCUUUAUAAAUGUUAAUUCAUAAUGGAAUGUUGUUUUAAUAGGAUGUUGAUUUAAUAAAUAAAAUUAAUGGGAUGUUGAUUCAUAAAAAAAAUUGCUGUUUUAAUAUGGGAAAUUUGGCCCUAUGUACACAAAAAAAAUCCAAAGUAAACUAACUAACUAAAAACACCUCUUUUCUCCUACUUUCUCUUCCUAUCUCUCUCUACUAUCUCUCUAAAAUUCUAACUUCAUUUUUUGGUUAUUUGGCAAAUAAGACAUUUUAAUAUUAUAGAUUUUUAUUUAAAAAAGGAAAAAAAAAAGAAAAAUAAUUAACAAUGAAUUCCUUCAUUUCUGGUUUGCUGUUUGCACCUUGCGAAUCGUGUGAACUAAUUCACACUUCUCAGCGUUUACAUUUUUGUCGGCCCUCUUGUCGCCAAAUAAGUCUCAACUUUCAACUCUUCUCUCCUGUCCUUACAAAGUGUAAACAUCCUUUUCUAAAAACUGACCUUUGAAAACUAAUUUCGUAUUGGGUAACCAAAAAAACCAUAGAUAUAUAAAAAUCAUAUAUAUCUCAGUAACCAAAUCCCUAUGAGACUCGUCCAUAAACAUCAAUCUCAACGAACCAUCUAUAGAAUUUUUUUUGACAAAAAUAAUUCAAAAUAAUGUACUCUUCAUCCUCUGUAUCACGCAUCAUUUUGAUCUAUGUCUCGGCCAUACAACUACUCCUUAUAAACAGCAAAUUGUCCUUAAACGUGACCAAUGAGUAUCUCAACCACACAUGCUUGGUUAGUCAAGGAAAAUACAAGUUGGGAAGUGAGUACGAUAAACUUUUUAAAAACAUCAUGAAAAUGUUCUAUAAAAACAGUAUCAGAGGUUACGACCUUUUUGGCGAUUCUACUUUUACCGCUAUCCUCCAGUGCCGCGGCGACUCCUACGGGCCCAAGUGCCGCGACUGUUUUAUCACCGCCCUCGCUGCGCUUCGUAGGAGAUGUCCAUGGUACAAGGGGAAGAUAAUAUGGUAUGACCAAUGUCUUCUUUCGAUGGAUUCCAAAUAUUCUGUUGGGCAGAUCGAUUACGACAAUAACUUUUGUAUGUCCAACGCGAAUAAGGUGGUAGAAGAUGGAGUCGCAUUUAUACAAGUUUGGAAUAUUCUCAUUGGCGAUCUGACGAAAUUAGCCACCACUGGAGAUAAUUACACACUGUACUCUGUGGGGGAGAAGCGGUACAAGGGUGAUAUGAUAUAUGGAAUGGUGCAGUGUGCGGUAGACUUAUCGCCAAAAGCUUGUCAGGAGUGUGUGUUGUAUAAUAGAUUUCAUUUUCAAAUUUGCGUGAAUGAUAUACGAGGAGCGAGAGUUGUAGGCAGGAGCUGUACUUUUAGGCUUGAGUUUUACCCUUUUAUUGCCAAGCAGGUCCGUAAUAUUUAAUAGAGCUAAAAGUAUUAAAAUAAAAUUCAGUUAAUGUAAACUUUAUUCAAUCAUAAGGUUUCUUUUUCUUCUUGCUGGACAAACUCACUUUUAUUAAAUAAAAAUUUACAAAGUUAUUACGGAAGCUACUGAUGAAUCAAAUUUUUACAUAUGCACAUAUAUAUGCCAUAUGCUCAAAGACAAUUUAAACAAAUUAAUAAAUUAUCAUACUUUAUCUCAAAGCCUUACUUGCAAAAUUAUUACUAAUCCCCUAUGAUCCUUAUCCGAAACUGAUCUUUUUAUGCAAAUGUUGUGCUUGGUGUUCUUUUCCUCGUUGAGACUUCUAAUUGCACAUUGCAUUACAAAACCAUUGAUUCCAUCAAUACUUUUGAAAAGUAGACAAGUUGAUAUCAAUCAAUUUGUAACAGUGUCUUUUUCGCAAAUAAUGAAUUUUAAUUUCUUCAACUUGAAAUCUAUAUUAUUAUUUAGGAAGUGAUUUUGCUGAUGUGUCAUAUUCUAAAUGAUUUUAGCUAAUUCGAUUAUUUGUUAUGUUCUAAAUAAUUUUAAUUAAUGAUUUUGCUUAUUUGUUACUUUUAAUGAAUAGUGAUAUAUAAUUAACAACAAAUUUUAUAUUUCAUAUUAACAACAUAAUAAUACUGUAUCAACUAACCAAGUUAAAAAAAGUCUAGCCGUUCAUGAAUAUUGCCAGGUUAUAUAACCAAUUAAUAUCUUUGUUCACACGAGUUUAAAACUUCUCCAUCGUCUAAAUUUUUUUUAUUUCUUGGUUAUAUGUAGGUUUUUUAUUUUCCAACUUACUUUUUCCUUCUUUGUUUAUUAUUUUGUGCAGACCUAAAAGUUCAGAAUCAAAUGAUUAGGAAAGAAUACAAUUUAGAAUGAUUAUUUAUGUUCCAUAAGCCAUAGCCAUAACAAGUUUUUAUUUCUGUCGUUUGGUACUUGAAGGAAUCCUAAAUCUACUGUGGUUGUUUGUAGUAUUUGAUAUGAACCUUAAUUUAUGAUUUUAUCAUUUUCUAUGUAUCGCAGCCAUAGUCGUAUAUGUCACUUUAAUUUUGAUCCUGGAGCAUUGACAGACAGCUUCCUUUGAGUAAAAUAGCUUCUGUCUUGGCAAACGACACAUGAGAAUUUCAUGUUUCCUUGCACAGUCUUCCCUCACCAGCUACCUUGUUAAGCUAACAGUGGACGCCAUUGACUCCUCUGGAACCAAAAUUGUUCAAUCAGUAGCUGAAGAAACUGAAACUCCUAUGAGUUGUCAUGAUGUACCAGAAACACUAUUGAUGAAUGAUCACUCACUGCUGUGUUGAAUGUGAAACAAGCAGUUGUUUAUCUUCGUCAAGUGUUCAUGAUGCAUUCAUUCCAGCAGAAAAAACUUUCUGAGUUUGGUGGCAGGCUGGCAGCAAUAUAUGUUUCUUUUGCGGCUGGAAGCCAUGACACAGUAAUGGUGUUCUUUAUACCAAUGCAGUUCAAACCAGAAAAAGAUAUUGUGGUUGGAAGAAGAGAAAUGAGUUUUUUCAAUCCUACAAAGAAUCGUUAAGAUUCAGAUUUGAAUAAUAAUUUCCUUAAAGCAAACUGAAGGUGUUAAAAUUAGUUUUAUUUUUCUUUUGUUUCACGGCUGCAUUUUACUGAUUACCUUUUUAGGUUCAUGUAAGAGGACAUCAAGUCUACAAACAAUACUAAUCCAUUUUUUGGCAUGGUGCGGACAAAAAGAAAAAGUCCAUAAUUUGGUUGGUAAUAUUACUUAAGAAAAUCACCUUGUGACGAAGGCGUAAAAGUAGUGACCUACUCGCUUUCAAACGCAGUACAAUCACCAAAGCAUCGAAACAUUACUUAUCCUCGAUAGAAACAUAUAGUUGAAACUUGUGAGUUUCACUUUGUGAAUAGCAUGCUUCUUCUAGCUCAACUAUGAACAAUAACAACAACAAUUAUCUAAUCAAAACUGAUACUCUUUUGGAUGAAGACACUUUCAUGUCUCUUGCAUUUGAAUGAUGACCCACUGCAUUGGUGAAAAAUUGUACAUGGAAAAAUUCAUAUGGUACAAUCGUCACAUCAGAAUGCAAUUAACAUUGAUGUUAUGAUGAGGAUGAGGUGUUGAGUUUGAUGAGGAUGCAAAGAUUCGAUUGGAAGAGGACUUAUGAAUUUGAGGAGGUACGAUCUCUACAGAGAUGUGUGAUCGCUUCACUGAGUUGGAUUUGGGAGAUACAAUUGGGUCUCUUAUUAAAUUCAUAACCUCCAUGGUUAUGAGUUUAUCAAAGAAGAAAGUAGGAGAUUUUCGAUCGGAUUCAAUUGGUUACUAUUAGAUUUGUGGACAAAAUCUACAGAAUCGGAGGGGGGAAAUAGAAGUAACGGAGGAUUCUAUGUUUGACCUUGGAACGUCCAGGAUAAUCAUCAUCUCCACUAAAGGGGCCUUUACCCCUUAUGGGUCCUCUGUAACAUUUAGGCCUCUGGAAAAGGUCGGAUUGUGUAAUAAAAUACAAGCUCAUGGUCUAUACUCAUGGAAGUUUCUUCGGGUUAAGAAACUUUUUACAUGUCUCAGUCUAUUUCUAGUCCCAAGGGAGCAAUCGGUAACAUUAAUUUAUUAGAAUAAUGCUGUUAAGAAAACAAAAAAUGGCAUUAUUUCAUCAGACUGUAAGCUUCGCGAUGAGGAAAAGAAUGCUCAGGGCUUAAGUAAUCACUAGACUUUGACCGUCUUUUUCAAUGGCGGGUAUAUUUUUUGUUUUAAUUUUUAUUAUUUAAAUAAAUUUAAUUAUUUUAAUUUUUAUUAUUUCAAAAAAUUUAAUUUUUAUAUAUGUGUUUAAUAUUAAUUAAAUUUAAUAUAACUUUUGCAAACUAUAUCGAAUAUGUCAAAGCUGUAUUUCUGUACUUUUACCGAUUUGACAAAUCUCCACGACACAUCUCAGCUGAACGCAUAAGAAGUUGCAGAUGUUGUUGUUCAUAAAAUGGGUUUCAUAAUUUGUACACUGUUUUUGUUAUUCAAACACGAUCCUUUAAAAAAUGUGUAAAGUAAAAUAUAAAUCUAACUGCUUUGUGCAACUGUAUAACAUAAAGAAAAGUAAGUAUAAAUCAAAAAGUAACUGCCGAGUCUAGAGAAGGAUUAUAUCUUUUUUAUUAAAUAGAUAGAUUUAGAUACAAAUCUAAAUUACUGUCUUAAUAAUAUUGAUUAGGUUUGAUUUCUGAAAAAAAAUUACUGUCCAUCAAAUUGUUAAGAAAAAAAUAAUAUUUUUAUAGCUAUUUUUUUUUUUAAAAAUAGAAGCAGUUACAAAACCGACAGCCAAUACACAAAAAUUUGAGCCACUGCGCAAGGUUAACUUUACAAAACUUUACAUAACCGACCACAAAGUUUAACACAAAAACAAAUUCUUAAUAAAAAAUUGCGUAAUGGUUAGGCAAAUAAUAAGUAUUUGCGGUUAGAGUUAGUAUAUAAUUAGAAGCAGUUAUGAAAAAAUCAGUUUUUCUUUUUAAAGAUAGGUCCAGUGGCAUUUUAAGUAAUAUACCAGGUAGAGGUAAGGACAGAAAAUAAGAGUGAUCCUGUUUUAAUAAUAGUUACUAGAUUUUGACCCGCGCUUUCAAAGCGCGGGUUUAUUUUUGUUUUUUUUUUUCAAUUGACAAAUAUUUAGUAAAUGUCACAUUUUCAUAUAUUUGUGUUUUAUUUUAUAAAAGGCUUAAAAUUUUUAUCUUUAUUUAUC